GGAUUAGCUCAGUUGGCGCAGAGCGUCCCGAUAGCAAUCGGGAAGGUCAUCGGUUCGACUCCGUUAUCCUCCA
This 73-nucleotide transfer RNA is filed under the name Chitinophagales bacterium. RNAcentral describes it as "tRNA-Ala". It matches the Rfam family "tRNA". Rfam says of the family: Transfer RNA (tRNA) molecules are approximately 80 nucleotides in length. Their secondary structure includes four short double-helical elements and three loops (D, anti-codon, and T loops). The record is from RNAcentral. Lineage: Bacteria; Pseudomonadati; Bacteroidota; Chitinophagia; Chitinophagales.